UUUCCUACGGGAGGCAGCAGUGGGGAAUAUUGGGCAAUGGGCGAAAGCCUGACCCAGCAACGCCGCGUGAAGGAAGAAGGCUUUCGGGUUGUAAACUUCUUUUGACAGGGAAGAGCAGAAGACGGUACCUGUCGAAUAAGCCACGGCUAACUACGUGCCAGCAGCCGCGGUAAUACGUAGGUGGCAAGCGUUGUCCGGAUUUACUGGGGGUAAAGGGCGUGUAGCCGGGCGGACAAGGCAGAUGUGAAAUCCGGGGGCUCAACCCCAGAACUGCAUUUGAAACUGUUGGUCUUGAGUAUCGGAGG
Molecule: ribosomal RNA, 305 nt
Filed under: uncultured bacterium
Lineage: Bacteria
Description: bacterial SSU rRNA
Rfam family: Bacterial small subunit ribosomal RNA
Source: RNAcentral